Molecule: ribosomal RNA, 254 nt
Filed under: uncultured bacterium
Lineage: Bacteria
Description: partial 16S ribosomal RNA
Rfam family: Bacterial small subunit ribosomal RNA
Source: RNAcentral
UACGUAGGGUGCAAGCGUUGUCCGGAAUCAUUGGGCGUAAAGCGCACGUAGGCGGCUUUCUAAGUCAGGGGUGAAAUCCUGGAGCUCAACUCCAGAACUGCCUUUGAUACUGGAGAGCUUGAGUCCGGGAGAGGUGAGUGGAACUCCGAGUGUAGAGGUGAAAUUCGUAGAUAUUGGGAAGAACACCAGUGGCGAAGGCGGGCUCUCUGGACCGUAACUGACGCUGAGGCGCGAAAGCGUGGGGAGCAAACAGG